UAUAGCGGCCCCUUGAAAAUGAUAAAAAUAUUCUUCUUGCGCAACACUGUUUAGGUUGCUACGAACUAGUUACCAAGGAGGCCCCAUAAUAAAUAAACAAACCAUAAUGUCGAAUAAAACCACAACAGUUUUUUCUAGUGAUUUCAAACUUUUGCAGUACCGAAUAUAUAUCAUUUAUUCAUUGUAUUGAAUUGUGUUAUUUGUAAAAUUAUCCUGAGUGUAAACUAGAUCUUGCUGGAUUACUCUUCGGGGGACGCUUCAACAAGGCAGAAUUGGACACCAAAUAUAACACCUAGACUAAUCGUCAUGAUAAUAAGUAUCAGGACAUAGUGAAAAUUACCGAUGCAGUAAGCUCAAUGCAUCUUCAAGCUCUCGUGAGGCUAUUUGCAAAAACCAUAUCUUCGAAAAUCUUGUACCAGGUAAAACAUGUUGGGAAGAAAUAAGGCUCUUUGAGGAUCAAAAUUUGGCUGGCUGUGCGAAUGCGGUUCGAUCAAUAGCUGUGAUUUCGAAUGACACGCACUUUAUGAUUUUUGAAGGGGCUUGGCAAUAUUGGCCGUCUGAAGAUUUUGAUUUGGAAAUGAUGGAUUAUCCUGCACCAGUGCCAGGUUCAACAAUUGAUCAUGCAGGAUAGAGAUGGGCAAAACAUUUCAUUUCAAAGAGGCGUUAAGUGAUGCAGAGUUCUAUUAAAAGAACUAGUUAUGUUUGCUUGUUGAAUAACUAACUUGAGGUUUCGCAAUAAACUGUUUUCUACCGUUCUCGAAAAAGACGGGGCGAUAAAAAAAAUAUAAGGUCCACGACUAUAAACUGAAGAACUAUCGUUCUAAAAAAAAGAACUGUUGGUCAUUAAUACUUUCAAAAGAACUAUUUCUUUUGAACCGAUCGCGAACGAAUCGCUUAUCUCUAAUGCAGGGUAACGGAGAUAUUUUAGCCACUAAUAUAUUUUGGUCCAGCGUACAUAUUUCUGAAAAUAAUCAAAAUGAAGUACAUCGUGACCCAAAAUUUUAAAGAUGUUUCCAUUCGUAAACAUGUU
Molecule: long non-coding RNA, 1030 nt
Organism: Malaya genurostris
Lineage: Eukaryota; Metazoa; Arthropoda; Insecta; Diptera; Culicidae
Exons: 3
Source: RefSeq, a predicted model, not a curated record